CUAUGCUUAGCCCUAAACAUAAAUUACUCAUAAACACAAAUAUUCGCCAGAGUACUACAAGCCAUAGCUCAAAACUCAAAGGACUUGGCGGUGCUUCACAUCCCUCUAGAGGAGCCUGUUCUAUAAUCGAUAAACCCCGAUCAACCUCACCACUCCUUGUUCAUCACAGCCUAUAUACCGCCAUCUU
Molecule: ribosomal RNA, 187 nt
Filed under: Dryomys nitedula (forest dormouse)
Lineage: Eukaryota; Metazoa; Chordata; Mammalia; Rodentia; Gliridae
Description: partial small subunit ribosomal RNA
Source: RNAcentral